GACUUUACAGUCAGCUUUACCUGGCGGGGAAUUCCCACAUUUAUGUCCUGAGUUAUGUUUGUUAUGUGUUUGUGAAUAUAUUUUAUUGAUACGUUUAUAUCAAAUCUGUUUUACGGAUAAAGCAUUAACCCUGAAUUCAGAACAGCACGCUAACAUUUUCAUGCCAGCAAUGAUGCCUGAUGUGCAUACGUCAUCCUGCUUGCUGUUGACCUUGACCUUUGUCGUUCUAACAUGCUCUCAAGAACAAUCCCCAGCACCUGCCGGAAUCCGUCUUUCAGUGCCGGAAAGCGAGUUUAACCGCUUUACCGCUUUGAGUAUUCAUCGUCGGACACAUUUCUUGCAGAAGAUCCAGUUCGACAAUUUAACUGGCCACGACAAUGACUUGUCAUGGACACUUACCAAUAUCCACGGAUCUAAUCUGACAAACAUGGAGAUACACGCCAUGUUUGGGGAUGAUGGCAACGUAACAACACACGGAACCUUGCGUAAUUGUUCUCUGAUGAUGGAUUGGUCAAUGUCGGAGGUGAUGGUUAUCGGAAAGGCA
Dreissena polymorpha is the source of this 544-nucleotide long non-coding RNA. RefSeq lists it as uncharacterized. The transcript is spliced from 4 exons. Lineage: Eukaryota; Metazoa; Mollusca; Bivalvia; Myida; Dreissenidae. The record is from RefSeq and is a predicted model, not a curated record.